GACGAACGCUGGCGGCGUGCCUAAUACAUGCAAGUUGAGCGCUGAAGGUUGGUACUUGUACCAACUGGAUGAGCAGCGAACGGGUGAGUAACGCGUGGGGAAUCUGCCUUUGAGCGGGGGACAACAUUUGGAAACGAAUGCUAAUACCGCAUAAAAACUUUAAACACAAGUUUUAAGCUUGAAAGAUGCAAUUGCAUCACUCAAAGAUGAUCCCGCGUUGUAUUAGCUAGUUGGUGAGGUAAAGGCUCACCAAGGCGAUGAUACAUAGCCGACCUGAGAGGGUGAUCGGCCACAUUGGGACUGAGACACGGCCCAAACUCCUACGGGAGGCAGCAGUAGGGAAUCUUCGGCAAUGGACGAAAGUCUGACCGAGCAACGCCGCGUGAGUGAAGAAGGUUUUCGGAUCGUAAAACUCUGUUGGUAGAGAAGAACGUUGGUGAGAGUGGAAAGCUCAUCAAGUGACGGUAACUACCCAGAAAGGGACGGCUAACUACGUG
RNAcentral lists this ribosomal RNA (497 nucleotides) under uncultured bacterium. RNAcentral's name for it is "partial 16S ribosomal RNA". It matches the Rfam family "Bacterial small subunit ribosomal RNA", at positions 28 to 507 of the family's 1533-position model. The record is from RNAcentral.